Molecule: long non-coding RNA, 371 nt
Organism: Capsella rubella
Lineage: Eukaryota; Viridiplantae; Streptophyta; Magnoliopsida; Brassicales; Brassicaceae
Exons: 2
Source: RefSeq, a predicted model, not a curated record
AACCUAACAAAAAAAAAAAUCUUUCUUCACCCCGGAAAGAGCAAAAUAAUGUCUGCCAUCAAAUUUCGGCUUGCGUUUCUUCUCUUAGCUUUUUGUCUUCUUUCUUCUCAAUGCCUUGCUAAACUACCAUAUGGGAAAUGUAACUACAAAGGUCAUUGCAACACUGAUAAUGACUGCAAAACCAUAUGCACAGCUCCAGGGGAAGAUCCUACUUUUCUAAUGUGCAUUAAAAACCCUCCUUGGUACAAAUGUUGUUGUGCAGUUUGAAUUUUAACUUUGUUUUGAUCUAAAUCGAUGGAUCUAUAUAUUUUGUAUCAUCACCCAUCAUAAGAUUUCACAUUAAUAAAAUAAAGUAAAUAGGCAUGGAAGUA